Molecule: ribosomal RNA, 852 nt
Filed under: Triticum aestivum (bread wheat)
Lineage: Eukaryota; Viridiplantae; Streptophyta; Magnoliopsida; Poales; Poaceae
Description: partial small subunit ribosomal RNA
Source: RNAcentral
AUGUCUUUCGGCCUAACCAAUGCUCCAGCUACUUUCUCCCGCUUGAUGAACUCGAUCUUUAUGGAGUACUUAGAGAAGUUCGUCGUGGUUUAUCUCGAUGAUAUUCUUAUUUACUCGAAGAACGAGGAAGAGCAUGCCGAACAUCUUAGACUCGUGUUAGAAAAACUCAAAGAGCACCGCCUUUAUGCCAAGUUCUCCAAGUGUGAAUUUUGGUUGCCAGAAGUGACCUAUCUGGGCCACGUGAUCUCUGGUAAGGGCAUUGCUGUCAAUCCCGAGAGAGUCAAAGCCGUUCUCGAUUGGACUCCACCCGAAACGGUCAAACAAGUUAGGAGUUUCCUUGGUCUAGCCAGUUAUUGUUGCCGCUUCAUUGAAAACUUCUCCAAAGUGGCCAAACCCCUCAUGGAGCUUCUCAAGAAAGAUAAAAGGUUUGAGUGGACCCCACAGUGUGAGCACAAUUUUCAGGAACUGAAAAGAUGCCUGACUUCUGCGCCCAUAUUCGUGCCACCGGAGUUCACUAAAGACUUUGUUAUCUAUUGCGACGCUUCGCGUCAAGGACUAGGUUGCAUUCUUAUGCAGGAUCGUCAAGUGAUUGCCUAUGCAUCUCGACAGUUGCAUCCACAUGAGGAAAAUUAUCCUACACAUGAUCUGGAGCUUGCAACCGUAGUCUAUGCACUUAAGACUUGGCGACAUUACCUUCUUGGUAACCAUUGCGAAAUCUACACUGACCAUCAGAGUCUCAAGUAUAUCUUAUCCCAACCAGAUCUAAAUCUCAGACAGAGACAUUGGUUGGAGUUGAUCUCAGAUUACGACUUAGGAAUCACCUACACCCCAAUGUCAUGGCUGAUGCUUUAA